Molecule: long non-coding RNA, 231 nt
Organism: Mya arenaria
Lineage: Eukaryota; Metazoa; Mollusca; Bivalvia; Myida; Myidae
Exons: 3
Source: RefSeq, a predicted model, not a curated record
GUUGUACGUCAUUGCUGCAGAUAAAGUUAUCCCAGUGAGCUGGCAUACAUCUGAUGACUCUUCCAAAAAUGAGGCCACUCCAAGACUUUUCGCGUUUGAUGUUGGUGCUUAUACUUCCAAAUCUCGCCAGUUCGUUUGUUCUGGACAGCGAGUGUGUAGCUCCGGCUCCAUGUACUUGUUCUGGGAGUAACAUUCAGUGCUCUUCUAAAAACCUACAGACUGUACCGCAAU